This 426-nucleotide ribosomal RNA is filed under the name uncultured Desulfobulbus sp. RNAcentral describes it as "bacterial SSU rRNA". It matches the Rfam family "Bacterial small subunit ribosomal RNA", at positions 956 to 1382 of the family's 1533-position model. Lineage: Bacteria; Pseudomonadati; Thermodesulfobacteriota; Desulfobulbia; Desulfobulbales; Desulfobulbaceae. The record is from RNAcentral.
GCAACGACGAAGAACCUUACCAGGCCUUGACAUGCAGAGAACUUUCCAGAGAUGGAUUGGUGCCUUCGGGAACUCUGACACAGGUGCUGCAUGGCUGUCGUCAGCUCGUGUCGUGAGAUGUUGGGUUAAGUCCCGUAACGAGCGCAACCCUUGCCUUUAGUUGCCAGCAGUUCGGCUGGGCACUCUAAAGGGACUGCCGGUGUUAAACCGGAGGAAGUGGGGAUGACGUCAAGUCCUCAUGGCCUUUAUGACCAGGGCUACACACGUACUACAAUGGCCGAUACAAAGGGCAGCGACACUGCGAGGUGAAGCCAAUCCCGUAAAAUCGGUCUCAGUCCGGAUUGGAGUCUGCAACUCGACUCCAUGAAGUUGGAAUCGCUAGUAAUCGUGGAUCAGCAUGCCACGGUGAAUACGUUCCCGGGCCUU